RNAcentral lists this ribosomal RNA (493 nucleotides) under uncultured bacterium. RNAcentral's name for it is "partial 16S ribosomal RNA". It matches the Rfam family "Bacterial small subunit ribosomal RNA", at positions 28 to 507 of the family's 1533-position model. The record is from RNAcentral.
GACGAACGCUGGCGGCGUGCCUAACACAUGCAAGUUGAGCGACGAACCAGGGCUUGCCCUGGGGCAAAGCAGCGAACGGGUGAGUAACACGUGGGUAACCUACCCCGAUAACCGGGACAACCCGAGGAAACUCGGGCUAAUACCGGAUGUGCUCACUGGACUUCGGUUCAGUGCGUAAAGGAAGCUUCGGCCUCCGUAUCGGGAGGGGCCCGCGGCCCAUUAGUUUGUUGGUGAGGUAACGGCUCACCAAGACCGCGAUGGGUAGCUGGUCUGAGAGGACGAGCAGCCACACUGGGACUGAGACACGGCCCAGACUCCUACGGGAGGCAGCAGUGGGGAAUCUUGCGCAAUGCGCGAAAGCGUGACGCAGCAACGCCGCGUGGGGGAAGAAGGCCUUCGGGUUGUAAACCCCUUUCAGGAGGGACGAAGGUUCGGCGGUGAAUAGCCGUCCGGACUGACGGUACCUCCACAAGAAGCCCCGGCUAACUACGUG